Molecule: non-coding RNA, 90 nt
Organism: Pseudomonas putida KT2440
Lineage: Bacteria; Pseudomonadati; Pseudomonadota; Gammaproteobacteria; Pseudomonadales; Pseudomonadaceae
Source: Rfam
GUCCAUGGCGGCUGUUCGCAGGAGGCUUCGUGCCUGCUGGGUUUUAGAUCUCCCACCCGGUUUACCACCCUGCGUACAGCUGCCACCCAU